CUACCCUUGACAUGUACGGAAUCCCCCAGAGAUGGGGGAGUGCCCGAAAGGGAGCCGUAACACAGGUGCUGCAUGGCUGUCGUCAGCUCGUGUCGUGAGAUGUUGGGUUAAGUCCCGCAACGAGCGCAACCCUUAUCCUUAGUCGCCAUGCCGAAAGGCGGCACUCUAAAGAGACUGUCGGCCACAAGCCGGAGGAAGGUGGGGAUGACGUCAAGUCCUCAUGGCCUUUAUGUCCAGGGCUACACACGUGCUACAAUGGGCGGUACAAAGCGUCGCAAACCCGCGAGGGGGAGCCAAUCGCAAAAAGCCGCUCUCAGUUCGGAUUGCAGUCUGCAACUCGACUGCAUGAAGCUGGAAUCGCUAGUAAUCGCGGAUCAGAACGCUGCGGUGAAUACGUUCCC
This 401-nucleotide ribosomal RNA is filed under the name uncultured bacterium. RNAcentral describes it as "bacterial SSU rRNA". It matches the Rfam family "Bacterial small subunit ribosomal RNA", at positions 975 to 1375 of the family's 1533-position model. The record is from RNAcentral.